GGGUUACCGAAUUCAGACAAACUCCGAAUGCCAAUUAAUUUAACUUGGGAGUCAGAACAUGGGUGAUAAGGUCCGUGUUCGAAAGGGAAACAGCCCAGACCACCAGCUAAGGUCCCAAAAUAUAUGUUAAGUGGAAAAGGAUGUGGCGUUGCCCAGACAACUAGGAUGUUGGCUUAGAAGCAGCCAUCAUUUAAAGAGUGCGUAAUAGCUCACUAGUCGAGUGACACUGCGCCGAAAAUGUACCGGGGCUAAACAUAUUACCGAAGCUGUGGAUUGUCCUUUGGACAAUGGUAGGAGAGCGUUCUAAGGGCGUUGAAGCAUGAUCGUAAGGACAUGUGGAGCGCUUAGAAGUGAGAAUGCCGGUGUGAGUAGCGAAAGACGGGUGAGAAUCCCGUCCACCGAUUGACUAAGGUUUCCAGAGGAAGGCUCGUCCGCUCUGGGUUAGUCGGGUCCUAAGCUGAGGCCGACAGGCGUAGGCGAUGGAUAACAGGUUGAUAUUCCUGUACCACCUAUAAUCGUUUUAAUCGAUGGGGGGACGCAGUAGGAUAGGCGAAGCGUGCGAUUGGAUUGCACGUCUAAGCAGUAAGGCUGAGUAUUAGGCAAAUCCGGUACUCGUUAAGGCUGAGC
This 627-nucleotide ribosomal RNA is filed under the name Staphylococcus aureus. Its description in RNAcentral is "partial 23S ribosomal RNA". It matches the Rfam family "Bacterial large subunit ribosomal RNA", at positions 933 to 1561 of the family's 2925-position model. The record is from RNAcentral. Lineage: Bacteria; Bacillati; Bacillota; Bacilli; Caryophanales; Staphylococcaceae.